This 77-nucleotide microRNA precursor is filed under the name Astyanax mexicanus (Mexican tetra). RNAcentral describes it as "let-7 microRNA precursor family". It matches the Rfam family "let-7 microRNA precursor family". From Rfam's summary of the family: This family represents the microRNAs (miRNA) let-7 and mir-98. let-7 was identified from a study of developmental timing in C. elegans, and was later shown to be part of a much larger class of non-coding RNAs termed miRNAs. The extents of the hairpin precursors are not generally known and are estimated based on hairpin prediction. The record is from Rfam by way of RNAcentral. Lineage: Eukaryota; Metazoa; Chordata; Actinopteri; Characiformes; Acestrorhamphidae.
CCAGGCUGAGGUAGUAGGUUGUAUAGUUUAGAGUUACACCACGGGAGAUAACUGUACAACCUCCUAGCUUUCCCUGA